UACAGAGGGUGCGAGCGUUGUCCGGAAUCACUGGGCGUAAAGGGCGCGUAGGUGGCUUGGUAAGCGUGUGGUGAAAGCCUGGGGCUCAACCCCAGGUCUGCCGUGCGAACUGCCAAGCUUGAGCAUAGUAGAGGCAGGUGGAAUUUCGGGUGUAGCGGUGGAAUGCGUAGAUAUCCGAAAGAACACCGGUGGCGAAGGCGGCCUGCUGGGCUAUUGCUGACACUGAGGCGCGACAGCGUGGGGAGCAAAC
Molecule: ribosomal RNA, 250 nt
Filed under: uncultured bacterium
Lineage: Bacteria
Description: partial 16S ribosomal RNA
Rfam family: Bacterial small subunit ribosomal RNA
Source: RNAcentral